Molecule: long non-coding RNA, 1209 nt
Filed under: Marmota monax (woodchuck)
Lineage: Eukaryota; Metazoa; Chordata; Mammalia; Rodentia; Sciuridae
Source: RNAcentral
CCCCACCACUGUGCUCCUAAAGCCAACAUAAGUGGUUCUUAUGAGAUGUCCAAUACCAUUUGUUCAAUGCAUCAGUGAAUGGUUGAGGUGUGAACUGAUGAACACAUAAUGGGAGUGGGCUGGGCCCAGCAAACUAUAUAUCUGUUACUAGCACCAGAGUCAAAGAUUAAUGAAAUUUCUGUGUGCAAAAUUUCUUCCUCUAAAUUCCAUCAGAGAGGCAUUGUUGAAUACCUGCAUUGUUCCAAGAAAUAAACUAAACACUGCUGACAGUGAGAUUUAUUGGAUAGAAUCAAAUAUGGAUCGUGGAAGAGGAACCAACCACACAAUAUCACCUAAUGGAUUGGUAAAUUUGGGCAAGUUACUCACUGUCCUUGGGCUUUUUGUUGCUUCCUCUGGAAAAUGAGGGAAACUCCCUCUAGCACAGAAAUGUUCUGAUGAUUAAAUGAGAUUAACCAAAGUCAAGUUCCCAGUCCAUUCUAACUGCUCCCUGAGAAUUGGUCUCCUUUCUACUUCCUGCCCCUUCAGAACUUGUGAUCUAAUUCUCCUAUUUUAGAUGAACACACUAAUAGAGGACGAUUGUAGAAGAUUUAGAAGCACGAAAUUACUUCUUUUGAAAAGAAAAAUGCCUGAAAAAAAGAGCUCCUUGUGGUUUUUUCAUCCUACCCCAUUUCCACACUUUUAUGCUGGCCAAAUAUCUUUCUUUCUUCCAUGCAAUUUUCCAAACCAUACUCAAUCACAUGAGCCCUUAGAGCUUAGGGAAUGGGGCCUCCAAGCCUACAAGGGUUCUUGCACUGCUUGUUGAACCUCAAAACAUAAAUAUUUCCGUUCCAGGUGCUCUAUCAGCUCUUUGCUGAAUAACAGAUAAUCCCAAAUAACAGCAAUUUAUUGUUUGUCACAGUCAGUGGGUUGGCUGAUUGGUUUCACUUCAUGUUCAGCCCAGAUUGACCUAUGGGACGACAUUCAGCUACAGGAUUGGCUGGGCUGAAAUUUCCCCAAAGACCUUGUUUCCUGGUUAGUGCUAUUUUUCUGGAGUACCCUGAUUCUCCUCUGUGUGGCAUCUUGUCCUCCAAUGGAAAGACAGAUUUCCUUCUGUGGUGGUCUGGAGGAAAUCUUCCAAUACGGUAAACAUACAAGCUACAUGGUCUUCUAAGGACAAGGCUCCACAAUUUGCACAGAAUCAUUUCUACCACAUUCUAUUGGACAAAGCAA